Neofelis nebulosa (Clouded leopard) is the source of this 444-nucleotide long non-coding RNA. RefSeq lists it as uncharacterized. Lineage: Eukaryota; Metazoa; Chordata; Mammalia; Carnivora; Felidae. The record is from RefSeq and is a predicted model, not a curated record. The transcript has 3 exons.
AGAGAGUAUUGACUUCUGUUCCAAGCAUAUGUCUUUCUUAGUGGGACUCCCCUUCUAGACCCUAGGGACCUUGAGCAACUAGUUUGUGUGCCAGCAGUUCUGUAUUUUUGGAUGAUGAAAAUUGAUUUUCCUCCUUUUAGCAGGUGCAGUCUCCGAGUGAGCCUCUCCCCUCAUGACCUGUGCAGAUUAUGCCAUCAAUAGUGGGAGAGGGGAUGAGGACGAACAUUUGGAGCCCUCAGCACACAGCUCCAAGGGGCCUGGUGAAGCCUUGCAGCAAUGAGGGUGCACUAGAAUAAAAGCGUCAAGACAAAGACCUGUGGCCUCGUCAAAGUUUGUUGAAGCCAAUGUUUCAGGUUGCCCCUCAAGUUCCAGGACGGGUAUCUUUUUAAGUAUCGACACCAAGAUUGGAGGCAGAAACGUGCAGGAAAAGCAUGGGAUUAAAAG